Molecule: non-coding RNA, 72 nt
Organism: Branchiostoma floridae (Florida lancelet)
Lineage: Eukaryota; Metazoa; Chordata; Leptocardii; Amphioxiformes; Branchiostomatidae
Source: Rfam
AGCAGCGUGGCGCAGUGGAAGCGUACUGGGUCGGUGACCCGGAGGUCGGUGGAUCAAAACCACCCGCUGCUC